This 762-nucleotide ribosomal RNA is filed under the name Tetraploa oryzae. RNAcentral describes it as "Tetraploa sp. DB-2023a partial large subunit ribosomal RNA". It matches the Rfam family "Eukaryotic large subunit ribosomal RNA", at positions 86 to 865 of the family's 3401-position model. The record is from RNAcentral. Lineage: Eukaryota; Fungi; Ascomycota; Dothideomycetes; Pleosporales; Tetraplosphaeriaceae.
ACGGCGAGUGAAGCGGCAACAGCUCAAAUUUGAAAUCUGGCUCCUUCGGGGCCCGAGUUGUAAUUUGUAGAGGGCGCUUUGGCGUUGGCGCCGGCCUAAGUUCCUUGGAACAGGACGUCACAGAGGGUGAGAAUCCCGUACGUGGCAGGCUGCCUCCGCCGUGUAAAGCCCCUUCGACGAGUCGAGUUGUUUGGGAAUGCAGCUCUAAAUGGGAGGUAAAUUCCUUCUAAAGCUAAAUACUGGCCAGAGACCGAUAGCGCACAAGUAGAGUGAUCGAAAGAUGAAAAGCACUUUGGAAAGAGAGUCAAAAAGCACGUGAAAUUGUUGAAAGGGAAGCGCUUGCAGCCAGACUUGCCUGUAGUUGCUCAUCCGGGCUCUCGCCCGGUGCACUCUUCUAUGGGCAGGCCAGCAUCAGUUUGGGCGGCCGGAUAAAGGUCUCGGGAACGUAGCUCUCUCCGGGGAGUGUUAUAGCCCGUGGCGCAAUGCGGCCAGCCUGGACUGAGGUCCGCGCAUCUGCUAGGAUGCUGGCGUAAUGGCUGUAAGCGGCCCGUCUUGAAACACGGACCAAGGAGUCUAACAUCUAUGCGAGUGUUUGGGUGUCAAGCCCGGGCGCGCAAUGAAAGUGAACGGAGGUGGGAACCCCCCCGGGGUGCACCAUCGACCGAUCCUGAUGUCUUCGGAUGGAUUUGAGUAAGAGCAUAGCUGUUGGGACCCGAAAGAUGGUGAACUAUGCCUGAAUAGGGUGAAGCCAGAGGAAACUCU